Molecule: long non-coding RNA, 234 nt
Filed under: Mytilus galloprovincialis (Mediterranean mussel)
Lineage: Eukaryota; Metazoa; Mollusca; Bivalvia; Mytilida; Mytilidae
Source: RNAcentral
GUUGGAUGGCUGGGUCACCGGACACAUUUUUCAAACUACUAACCCAAAAGAUGAUUGUGGCCAAGUUUGGAUUAAUUUGGCCAAGUAGUUUCAGAGAGAGAAGAUUUUUGUAAAAGAUUACUAAGAUUUACGAAAAAUGGUUAAAAAUUGACUAUAAAGGGCAAUAACUCCUAAAGGGGUCAACUGACCAUUUCAGUCAUGUUGACUUAUUUGUAAAUCUUACUUUGCUGAACA